AGGAUGAACGCUGGCGGCGUGCUUAACACAUGCAAGUCGAACGAUGAUCCAGCUUGCUGGGGGAUUAGUGGCGAACGGGUGAAUAACACGUGAGUAACCCGCCCUUAACUCUGGGAUAAGCCUGGGAAACUGGGUCUAAUACCGGAUAUGACUCCUCAUCGCAUGGUGGGGGGUGAAAGCUUUAUUGUGGUUUUGGAUGGACUCGCGGCCUAUCAGCUUGUUGGUGAGGUAAUGGCUCACCAAGGCGACGACGGGUAGCCGGCCUGAGAGGGUGACCGGCCACACUGGGACUGAGACACGGCCCAGACUCCUACGGGAGGCAGCAGUGGGGAAUAUUGCACAGUGGGCGCAAGCCUGAUGCAGCGACGCCGCGUGAGGGAUGACGGCCGUUCGGUUGUAAACCUUCUUUCGAGUAAGGGAAGAAGCGAAAGUGACGGUACCUGACGAGAAGAAGCGACCGGCUAAACGUCGUGACCAGCAGCCGC
Molecule: ribosomal RNA, 485 nt
Filed under: uncultured soil bacterium
Lineage: Bacteria
Description: bacterial SSU rRNA
Rfam family: Bacterial small subunit ribosomal RNA
Source: RNAcentral